GUGUGUGUGUGUGUCAGGUUGUGUUAGAGACGGUCUAGUAAAUCUCUAGAAAUCCUCUGAUGUUGUUCCAGACUGGGAGGAUGGAGAGACCGAAAGAGGGCAGGACAGACUGUGAUGUUAUCUCUGUUGGUCCUCUAGGUAGCAGGACAGACUGUGAUGUUAUCUCUGUUGGUCCUCUAGGUAGCAGGACAGACUGUGGUGUUAUCUCUGUUGGUCCUCUAGGUAGCAGGACAGACUGUGGUGUUAUCUCUGUUGGUCCUCUAGGUAGCAGGACAGACUGUGAUGUUAUCUCUGGUCCUCUAGGUAGCAGGACAGACUGUGGUGUUAUCUCUGUUGGUCCUCUAGGUAGCAGGACAGACU
Molecule: long non-coding RNA, 360 nt
Organism: Oncorhynchus keta (chum salmon)
Lineage: Eukaryota; Metazoa; Chordata; Actinopteri; Salmoniformes; Salmonidae
Exons: 3
Source: RefSeq, a predicted model, not a curated record